This is a long non-coding RNA of Malurus melanocephalus (red-backed fairy wren), 479 nucleotides long. RefSeq lists it as uncharacterized. The record is from RefSeq and is a predicted model, not a curated record. NCBI's taxonomy places the organism in Eukaryota, Metazoa, Chordata, Aves, Passeriformes, Maluridae. The transcript has 3 exons.
ACCAAACCAUCCUGCACAGAGGAGCUGCAGCCUGGGAAUGUCCCUGGAUGGUGCUCAGGAGCAGCGGUGAAGCCCUAUCAGGUCCUGUCUGGGAUGGUUUUUCACCUCUCAUCUCUUGUGUCCCAGCCACUCCAUCAAARCCAAAUUGUUUUGGCAGUGAGGAAGAAUCCAGAAGGAUCCAGCACAAGCUGCCCCUGYGUCCAAACUCUGGCAGGGAGCUGUUUCCAGGGGCUGAGGUGCAGAAAAUAAACCCAGCUGGGCUCAGUGACUCAAWAUCUCUGCUGCCAUCUCGAGUAAGAGGAAAGUCUGAACAUCUGAUCAACCUCUACCUGCUUGAUCAGGGUUUUAAACGUGAGUUUUGUUAAAUUAGCCAGGCCAGACUGGUGUCUGGUGUGUGAAGGGUUGGAAAGGCUCUGUUUGCACCAGGAAAGGUUCCCACACUCUCUGGAGAAUUUGUGAUGCUGAAAACUGAGAACAAA